UCAGUUAGUCAGUGAAGACUGAGGUAUC
RNAcentral lists this non-coding RNA (28 nucleotides) under Homo sapiens (human). The record is from RNAcentral. Lineage: Eukaryota; Metazoa; Chordata; Mammalia; Primates; Hominidae.